GCGGGCAGCCGGCGCCGCCGCCGGCCUGGGCGCUCGGCUUUGCCCUGCCCUCCUCUCUUCUCUUCCUUGUUCUCCGCUCCGCUCCCGGCAGCUGUCCCACGCGCCAACGUAAACAAAUCCGUUCGAGCUUCUCCCGGCGUUUAUUUGUCAUUCUUGGACAGCGCAGCCGUGCUACAGCCGCGUCCGUCCGGGCUCUGCAAGGGAAGCCUUUGCAAAGAGUUUCGCUUUUCCGCGCUAAGGGGGCUUAAAACCUCGAGAAGAUGUGCGGAGGGAGGGCUAACCUGGGUUACUGUGUCCUCAAACGACUGUGCUGGGCGCUUCCAGCACGGCAAAGCAAAGCCUGAGAGCAGCCCAAGCUCCACUCCCCGCCGGCGAGCGCCCGAGCCCUCUUUUCCUAACGCUUCGUCCCCUCAACUCUGCUCUUUCAGCCCCAAAAGCUUUGCCAGCGGCUCGCCAGCUCCCACGGCUCGCCGACACUACGUGCCCGCGACACCACAUGCCAGAGCCCAGCGCGGAAACGGGUGGGCUCCGGGGGAGCGUGUGAGGAGCUCUCCGGAGCCGCAGAGCUGUUCUUCGGCAGCUCCUCCCGGGGACUUCAGGGCACGUCCCGGGCGGGAACGGCCUCCCCUCCCCGCAGCGUGCCGGCGGGCGCGCCGCAGAGCCGCGUCCGCCCCUCGGUUUGCACCCGGGGUUCGUACGGCCGCUUCCCAGCCCCGAGUCGCCGCUGCAAACAUCUGGUAGGAAACCAGCGCCGCUUUCUGCCCCGCGUUCCUCCCCCUGCCUCAACCCCCAGUCCUGCUGCCGCCGGGAGUCACAAACCCGGGGCUCCGC
Molecule: long non-coding RNA, 831 nt
Organism: Pogoniulus pusillus (Red-fronted tinkerbird)
Lineage: Eukaryota; Metazoa; Chordata; Aves; Piciformes; Lybiidae
Exons: 2
Source: RefSeq, a predicted model, not a curated record